GCUCUCUUCAGCAAAACAUAUUCUAAAAUGAGAAUUAUACAAAGUAAAUUAGCAUGGCCCCUGCACAAGAAUGACGCUCACGUAUGAUGUCCUCCAUAUUUAA
This is a small nuclear RNA of Meriones unguiculatus (Mongolian gerbil), 103 nucleotides long. Lineage: Eukaryota; Metazoa; Chordata; Mammalia; Rodentia; Muridae. The record is from Ensembl.